RNAcentral lists this ribosomal RNA (353 nucleotides) under uncultured bacterium. Its description in RNAcentral is "partial 16S ribosomal RNA". It matches the Rfam family "Bacterial small subunit ribosomal RNA", at positions 338 to 683 of the family's 1533-position model. The record is from RNAcentral.
CCUACGGGAGGCUGCAGUGGGGAAUAUUGCGCAAUGGGCGAAACCCUGACGCAGCGACGCCGCGUGAGGGAUGGAGGUCUUCGGAUCGUAAACCUCUGUCAGCAGGGAAGAACGGUCACUGUACUAAUCAGCAGUGAAUUGACGGUACCUGCAAAGGAAGCACCGGCUAACUCCGUGCGAGCAGCCGCGGUAAUACGGAGGGGGCGAGCGUUAAUCGGAAGUACUGGGCGGAAAGCGCUCGUAGGCGGUAUGGCAAGUCAAGGGUGAAAGCCCCGCGCUCAACGUGGGAACUGCCUGUGAAACUGGGAGACUGGAGUGUGUGAGAGGCUAGUGGAAUUCCAGGUGUAGGAGUG